This 253-nucleotide ribosomal RNA is filed under the name uncultured bacterium. Its description in RNAcentral is "partial 16S ribosomal RNA". It matches the Rfam family "Bacterial small subunit ribosomal RNA", at positions 524 to 776 of the family's 1533-position model. The record is from RNAcentral.
UACGUAGGGCGCAAGCGUUGUCCGGAAUUAUUGGGCGUAAAGAGCUCGUAGGCGGCUUGUCACGUCGGGUGUGAAAGCUCGGGGCUUAACCUGGGAACUGCGUCUGAUACUGGAAGGCUUGAGGAUGGGAGAGGGAUGUAGAAUUCCAGGUGUAGCGGUGAAAUGCGUAGAUAUCUGGAGGAAUACCGGUGGCGAAGGCGGCAUCCUGGACCAUUACUGACGCUGAGGCGCGAAAGCUAGGGGAGCAAACGGG